This 253-nucleotide ribosomal RNA is filed under the name uncultured bacterium. Its description in RNAcentral is "partial 16S ribosomal RNA". It matches the Rfam family "Bacterial small subunit ribosomal RNA", at positions 524 to 776 of the family's 1533-position model. The record is from RNAcentral.
UACGUAUGGUGCAAGCGUUAUCCGGAUUUACUGGGUGUAAAGGGAGCGCAGGCGGCACGGCAAGCCUGAUGUGAAGGCCCGCGGCCCAACCGCGGGACUGCAUUGGGAACUACCGGGCUGGAGUGCCGGAGAGGUAGGCGGAAUUCCUAGUGUAGCGGUGAAAUGCGUAGAUAUUAGGAGGAACACCAGUGGCGAAGGCGGCCUACUGGACGGUGACUGACGCUGAGGCUCGAAAGCGUGGGGGGCAAACAGG